This 1290-nucleotide ribosomal RNA is filed under the name Arthrobacter sp. CL2. RNAcentral describes it as "bacterial SSU rRNA". It matches the Rfam family "Bacterial small subunit ribosomal RNA", at positions 66 to 1367 of the family's 1533-position model. Lineage: Bacteria; Bacillati; Actinomycetota; Actinomycetes; Micrococcales; Micrococcaceae. The record is from RNAcentral.
CCCAAGUUACCGGCCUCACUGGGGGAUUAGUGGCGAACGGGUGAGUAACACGUGAGUAACCUGCCCUUGACUCUGGUAGAGCCUGGGAAACUGGGUCUAAUACCGGAUAUGACUCCUCAUCGCAUGGUGGGGGGUGGAAAGCUUUUGUGGUUUUGGAUGGACUCGCGGCCUAUCAGCUUGUUGGUGGGGUAAUGGCCUACCAAGGCGACGACGGGUAGCCGGCCUGAGAGGGUGACCGGCCACACUGGGACUGAGACACGGCCCAGACUCCUACGGGAGGCAGCAGUGGGGAAUAUUGCACAAUGGGCGAAAGCCUGAUGCAGCGACGCCGCGUGAGGGAUGACGGCCUUCGGGUUGUAAACCUCUUUCAGUAGGGAAGAAGCCGUAAGGUGACGGUACCUGCAGAAGAAGCGCCGGCUAACUACGUGCCAGCAGCCGCGGUAAUACGUAGGGCGCAAGCGUUAUCCGGAAUUAUUGGGCGUAAAGAGCUCGUAGGCGGUUUGUCGCGUCUGCUGUGAAAGACCGGGGCUCAACUCCGGUUCUGCAGUGGGUACGGGCAGACUAGAGUGCAGUAGGGGAGACUGGAAUUCCUGGUGUAGCGGUGAAAUGCGCAGAUAUCAGGAGGAACACCGAUGGCGAAGGCAGGUCUCUGGGCUGUAACUGACGCUGAGGAGCGAAAGCAUGGGGAGCGAACAGGAUUAGAUACCCUGGUAGUCCAUGCCGUAAACGUUGGGCACUAGGUGUGGGGGACAUUCCACGUUUUCCGCGCCGUAGCUAACGCAUUAAGUGCCCCGCCUGGGGAGUACGGCCGCAAGGCUAAAACUCAAAGGAAUUGACGGGGGCCCGCACAAGCGGCGGAGCAUGCGGAUUAAUUCGAUGCAACGCGAAGAACCUUACCAAGGCUUGACAUGAACCGGUAAUACCUGGAAACAGGUGCCCCGCUUGCGGUCGGUUUACAGGUGGUGCAUGGUUGUCGUCAGCUCGUGUCGUGAGAUGUUGGGUUAAGUCCCGCAACGAGCGCAACCCUCGUUCUAUGUUGCCAGCGGUUCGGCCGGGGACUCAUAGGAGACUGCCGGGGUCAACUCGGAGGAAGGUGGGGACGACGUCAAAUCAUCAUGCCCCUUAUGUCUUGGGCUUCACGCAUGCUACAAUGGCCGGUACAAAGGGUUGCGAUACUGUGAGGUGGAGCUAAUCCCAAAAAGCCGGUCUCAGUUCGGAUUGGGGUCUGCAACUCGACCCCAUGAAGUCGGAGUCGCUAGUAAUCGCAGAUCAGCAACAUCGUAGAUCCCA